CAGAGGGUGCUAGCGUUAAUCGGAAUUACUGGGCGUAAAGGGUGUGUAGGUGGUUUGAUAAGUUAGAUGUGAAAUCCCCGGGCUUAACCUGGGAACUGCGUUUAAAACUGUUGAACUAGAGUACUGUAGAGGAUAGUGGAAUUUCCAGUGUAGCGGUGAAAUGCGUAGAUAUUGGAAGGAACACCAGUGGCGAAGGCGACUAUCUGGACAGAUACUGACACUGAGACACGAAAGCGUGGGGAGCAAACAGGAUUAGAUACCCUGGUAGUCCAUGCUGUAAACGAUGAGAACUUGCUGUUGGAUGCAUAAAAGCAUUUAGUAGCGAAGCUAACGCGAUAAGUUCUCCGCCUGGGGAGUACGGCCGCAAGGCUA
RNAcentral lists this ribosomal RNA (372 nucleotides) under uncultured organism. Its description in RNAcentral is "bacterial SSU rRNA". It matches the Rfam family "Bacterial small subunit ribosomal RNA", at positions 526 to 896 of the family's 1533-position model. The record is from RNAcentral.